GCCAGUUGGAAGUAAAUAGUAACUGCGGCUUGGAAGUGAAGCCGAUUGAAUGAAGUUAUUAGCCGUGUUGUAGGAUGAAUAAUAGUUGCUAGCAGUUUGCCAUAGAGCUGUGAUUUACUUUAUUGCUGUAAUUUACUAUCUAAGGUCUCUUUAGAAGGCUUUACAGGAGGUCAGAGGUCACUACUAACUCGAAAGUAAAGCCACCUAUACCUGGAAGAAAAUAGACUCGCCAGCCAGCCCUAGCGAGGGGUCCGACACUCCUUUAAAUCUUGUACACCCUUCGCCUAAAUCUUUGGUAAAUCUCUUAAAUCUUGGGUAAAUCUAAAUCUUUAUCUGACCUAUGAACCUUCUCCAUUCGAGGUGCAUGCACUAUCUGCAUGCACUAUCUAUUACAUUAUGCAUAGAUACUAUUGUAUCUAUGUAUUGUGCAUCACUUUAUAAUUAUAUUCGCUAUACAAAGACUGUACUGAGUGACUGAAUCAAGUGUCUAUUGUGGAAUUCCGACUGACAGGUCUAUUGCUACUGAUAUUAUCUUAAUAUCUAUAGGCUCUGCAGAAAGAUGGCUACAUGUGAUAUUCACCCGGACCCAGCUUCACUCAGCGACAAAGAUUUUCUCGCUCUCAUGCAUGAUAACUUCCACCGUAUGUUGUAAAGUGUUAGCCUAGUUGUUCGCCUAACCGUUAUAAAAGCGAAAACUCGGCCUGGGAUCGAGGCUAGUAAAGUGUAUGCUUGCUGCUGGAUUCGAUGUUGUUGAAGUGGUUGCAUCAAUGGAUCUCAGUGUGACAAGCCUGGGAAUUCAAUUGACAUAAUUGAGAAAUUUAUUAACCAACAUUUUUCUGGUAACAAUGAGUACACACUAUCUCUGAAACCUUUUGUUUUCCUCUACCUCCAGAUUCUCUCCAAGUUGUACACAUUACUAAUAGAAAUCAUUGGGCCACAGUCUCCACGAUAGGAGUGGGACAACUGCAAGACACUGAUGUCUUCCUAUAUGACUCAUUGUACUCUCAUACAGAGAUUAGUUUGACCACCAAAAUUCUACUUGCAAAGUUGCUAAAUUCAAGUAAACAUUUCAUUAGACUGUGUGUUCCACAAAUGCCAAAGCAGU
Halichondria panicea is the source of this 1105-nucleotide long non-coding RNA. RefSeq lists it as uncharacterized. NCBI's taxonomy places the organism in Eukaryota, Metazoa, Porifera, Demospongiae, Suberitida, Halichondriidae. The transcript has 3 exons. The record is from RefSeq and is a predicted model, not a curated record.